GCUAGUCCAACUUUACUGAUGUGGCGCACCAGGGUUGAGGUAGGGCAUGUAAAUGAGUUCUAACUAGAGUUUGAAUGAGUAAGUUUAUAAUCGAGGGUUCAGUUAGCACCGGCAUAAGGAGAAGAAAUUAACUCUUAGGCCUCAAUAUUGAGUUGAGCUGAUUUAUGCUUGGCUCAGCUUGCUCAUAUUUCAGCUCGGGUUGGCUAGGCUCUUUUUGAUACAGAUGAGCUUAGCCAGGCUUAAUUUGUUCGGUAUGGUCAAAGGUAUCGCGAAAAUCACUUGUUUCCAACGAUGAAGGUCUUCAACAAGGUAUUCAGCUCAUGAUGAUGCAUUUAAUGAG
This 340-nucleotide long non-coding RNA is filed under the name Solanum tuberosum (potato). RNAcentral's name for it is "long non-coding RNA (STUB_LNC004018)". The record is from RNAcentral. Lineage: Eukaryota; Viridiplantae; Streptophyta; Magnoliopsida; Solanales; Solanaceae.